UAAUACGGAGGGUGCAAGCGUUGUUCGGAUUUAUUGGGCGUAAAGAGCAUGUAGGCGGUCUGUUAAGUCAGAGGUGAAAGUCCCGGGCUCAACCCGGGAAGUGCCUUUGAUACUGGCAGACUUGAGUACGGGAGAGGGUGGCGGAAUUCCAUGUGUAGAGGUGAAAUUCGUAGAUACAUGGAGGAACACCGGUGGCGAAGGCGGCUACCUGGACCGAUACUGACGCUGAGAUGCGAAAGCGUGGGGAGCAAACGGGAUUAGAUACCCCGGUAGUCCACGCCCUAAACGAUGAGUACUAGGUGUUGCGGGGGCUACCCUGCGGUGCCGCAGCUAACGCAUUAAGUACUCCGCCUGGGAAGUACGGCCGCAAGGCUA
This 375-nucleotide ribosomal RNA is filed under the name uncultured delta proteobacterium. RNAcentral describes it as "bacterial SSU rRNA". It matches the Rfam family "Bacterial small subunit ribosomal RNA", at positions 521 to 896 of the family's 1533-position model. Lineage: Bacteria; Deltaproteobacteria. The record is from RNAcentral.